CCUACGGGCGGCAGCAGUGAGGAAUAUUGGUCAAUGGACGGAAGUCUGAACCAGCCAUGCCGCGUGCAGGAAGACGGCUCUCUGAGUUGUAAACUGCUUUUGUACAAGGGUAAACCUGAAUACGUGUAUUCAGCUGAAAGUACUGUACGAAUAAGGAUCGGCUAACUCCGUUCCAGCAGCCGCGGUAAUACGGAGGGUCCAAGCGUUAUCCGGAUUUAUUGGGUUUAAAGGGUGCGUAGGCGGGUUGAUAAGUUAGAGGUGAAAUCUCCGGGCUCAACUCGGGAACUGCCUCUAAUACUGUGGAGCUAGAGAGUAGUAGCGGUAGGCGGAAUGUAUGGUGUAGCGGUGAAAUGCUUAGAGAUCAUACAGAACACCGAUUGCGAAGGCAGCUUACCAAUCUAUAUCUGACGUUGAGGCACGAAAGCGUGGGGAGCAAACAGGAUUAGAUACCCCUGUAGUC
RNAcentral lists this ribosomal RNA (460 nucleotides) under uncultured bacterium. Its description in RNAcentral is "partial 16S ribosomal RNA". It matches the Rfam family "Bacterial small subunit ribosomal RNA", at positions 338 to 795 of the family's 1533-position model. The record is from RNAcentral.